RNAcentral lists this transfer RNA (72 nucleotides) under Fidelibacterota bacterium. RNAcentral's name for it is "tRNA-Asn". It matches the Rfam family "tRNA". Rfam says of the family: Transfer RNA (tRNA) molecules are approximately 80 nucleotides in length. Their secondary structure includes four short double-helical elements and three loops (D, anti-codon, and T loops). Lineage: Bacteria; Pseudomonadati; Fidelibacterota. RNAcentral also lists the same sequence under 1 other name. The record is from RNAcentral.
UCCGGCGUAGCUCAAUGGUAGAGCGGGUGGCUGUUAACCACUAGGUUGGGGGUUCGAGUCCCUCCGCCGGAG